RNAcentral lists this ribosomal RNA (497 nucleotides) under uncultured bacterium. Its description in RNAcentral is "partial 16S ribosomal RNA". It matches the Rfam family "Bacterial small subunit ribosomal RNA", at positions 28 to 507 of the family's 1533-position model. The record is from RNAcentral.
GAUGAACGCUGGCGGCGUGCCUAAUACAUGCAAGUCGAGCGAACAGAUGAGGAGCUUGCUCCUCUGACGUUAGCGGCGGACGGGUGAGUAACACGUGGAUAACCUACCUAUAAGCCUGGGAUAACUUCGGGAAACCGGAGCUAAUACCGGAUAAUAUAUUGAACCGCAUGGUUCAAUAGUGAAAGACGGUUUUGCUGUCACUUAUAGAUGGAUCCGCGCCGCAUUAGCUAGUUGGUAAGGUAACGGCUUACCAAGGCAACGAUGCGUAGCCGACCUGAGAGGGUGAUCGGCCACACUGGAACUGAGACACGGUCCAGACUCCUACGGGAGGCAGCAGUAGGGAAUCUUCCGCAAUGGGCGAAAGCCUGACGGAGCAACGCCGCGUGAGUGAUGAAGGUCUUCGGAUCGUAAAACUCUGUUAUUAGGGAAGAACAAAUGUGUAAGUAACUAUGCACGUCUUGACGGUACCUAAUCAGAAAGCCACGGCUAACUACGUG